Molecule: long non-coding RNA, 435 nt
Organism: Chenopodium quinoa (quinoa)
Lineage: Eukaryota; Viridiplantae; Streptophyta; Magnoliopsida; Caryophyllales; Amaranthaceae
Exons: 2
Source: RefSeq, a predicted model, not a curated record
UUCUCUCUCUUUAAUUUUCUCUCUCCUCAAAAACUCAUUAUAUUGUUGAAUUUUCUCUUUAAUUUCCUUCAGCCAUUUACCAUUGUCAAUUUGUUAUCUCCUUCAUGGCUUGACUCCUUCACUCCUCCACAACACGCGUUCCUUAAUUCUUCUCCUUCAUCAAUCAAGGUUUGGCAGCAAGAAGUAAUCACCCAUGUUCAAUUGGAAAUGUUGUGGAUCAAUUUUAAAGCUUGAGGUGGUGAACAAGGAUGACAACCAUGAUAAAUUGACACUCUUAACAUCGCCCGAUCUUAAUCCAAAUGAAAAUCUUAUUGCAUCUUCUAUUAUUUUUGAGAACUGUAAUUUGUGUUAAAAAAACUUUUGUCUUUUGAAACUUGGUUUGUAAUUAGUGAAUUGCACUUUUUAUCGGUUUAUAAUCGUUAAUUAGGAUUGUUA